This 968-nucleotide ribosomal RNA is filed under the name Ptilophorus sp. COL352. RNAcentral's name for it is "SSU rRNA". It matches the Rfam family "Eukaryotic small subunit ribosomal RNA", at positions 32 to 938 of the family's 1831-position model. The record is from RNAcentral. Lineage: Eukaryota; Metazoa; Arthropoda; Insecta; Coleoptera; Ripiphoridae.
UUGUCUCAAAGAUUAAGCCAUGCAUGUCUCAGUACAAGCCAAAUUAAGGUGAAACCGCAAAAGGCUCAUUAAAUCAGUUAUGGUUCCUUAGAUCGUACUCACAUUUACUUGGAUAACUGUGGUAAUUCUAGAGCUAAUACAUGCAAACAGAGCUCUGACCGGAAACGGAAGGAGCGCUUUUAUUAGAUCAAAACCAAUCGGUGUUGGGCUCACGCUCUUCAUCGUACAAUUUGGUGAAUCUGAAUAACUUUAUGCUGAUCGCACGGUCUUGCACCGGCGACGUAUCUUUCAAAUGUCUGCCUUAUCAACUGUCGAUGGUAGGUUCUGCGCCUACCAUGGUUGUAACGGGUAACGGGGAAUCAGGGUUCGAUUCCGGAGAGGGAGCCUGAGAAACGGCUACCACAUCCAAGGAAGGCAGCAGGCGCGCAAAUUACCCACUCCCGGCACGGGGAGGUAGUGACGAAAAAUAACGAUACGGGACUCAUCCGAGGCCCCGUAAUCGGAAUGAGUACACUCUAAAUCCUUUAACGAGGAUCAAUUGGAGGGCAAGUCUGGUGCCAGCAGCCGCGGUAAUUCCAGCUCCAAUAGCGUAUAUUAAAGUUGUUGCGGUUAAAAAGCUCGUAGUCGAAUUUGUGUUCCGCGCCGCCGGUUCAUCGUUCGCGGUGUUAACUGGCGUGUCGCGGAACGUCCUGCCGGUGGGCUUAGCUUGUAACAGAGCGGCCCAACUCAAUCCCGCCGCGGUGCUCUUCAUUGAGUGUCGAGGUGGGCCGGCACGUUUACUUUGAACAAAUUAGAGUGCUUAAAGCAGGCUAAAAUUUUGCCUGAAUACUGUGUGCAUGGAAUAAUGGAAUAGGACCUCGGUUCUAUUUUGUUGGUUUUCGGAACCCCGAGGUAAUGAUUAAUAGGAACGGAUGGGGGCAUUCGUAUUGCGACGUUAGAGGUGAAAUUCUUGGAUCGUCGCAAGACGG